This 76-nucleotide transfer RNA is filed under the name Nitrospira sp. Its description in RNAcentral is "tRNA-Arg". It matches the Rfam family "tRNA". Rfam says of the family: Transfer RNA (tRNA) molecules are approximately 80 nucleotides in length. The record is from RNAcentral. Lineage: Bacteria; Pseudomonadati; Nitrospirota; Nitrospiria; Nitrospirales; Nitrospiraceae.
GCGCCCGUAGCUCAAUGGAUAGAGCAUCUGACUACGGAUCAGAAAGUUACAGGUUCAAGUCCUGUCGGGAGCACCA